UUAGAUACCCUGGUAGUCCACGCUGUAAACGAUGAUUACUAGGUGUUGGGGGACCAAGGUCCUUCGGUGCCGUCGCANACGCAUUAAGUANUCCACCUNGGGAGUACGUUCGCAAGAAUGAAACUCANAGAAUUGACNGNGACCCGCACANNNGCGUGGAGCAUGUGGUUUAAUUUCAAAGCACCGCGAAGAACCUUUACCCUGUNCUUGACAUUCCGAUGACGAGNUGAGCAAGGUCCCUUUUCCCUUUGGGGC
This 255-nucleotide ribosomal RNA is filed under the name uncultured bacterium. RNAcentral describes it as "partial 16S ribosomal RNA". It matches the Rfam family "Bacterial small subunit ribosomal RNA", at positions 778 to 1027 of the family's 1533-position model. The record is from RNAcentral.